This 19631-nucleotide unclassified non-coding RNA is filed under the name Diabrotica virgifera virgifera (western corn rootworm). Its description in RNAcentral is "cKLF-like MARVEL transmembrane domain-containing protein 4". Lineage: Eukaryota; Metazoa; Arthropoda; Insecta; Coleoptera; Chrysomelidae. The record is from RNAcentral.
AUGGCGACGCCCCCUCAAAAAUAGUUGUCGAGUUUGAUAAGCGUCGGGAGGUAGCUUAGCGUGUGGUGAAAAAUAAAAUAAUGUUCUAAGCCUACUAGGCGAAAAUACUGUAAAAUAAAAUUAUUUCUAAGCAAUAGUUAAUUUCAAUAACAGGUUAAAAUGGCGGAUCCAGGUUUUCCAGGAAAGACUGCUACCACAACUACAGUACAUACAAACAGUACUACUACAGUUCAAACCAAUGUGCGGUUUGAUCCAUUCUAUAUUAGAACCAUACCUGGAAUACUAAAAUGUGUUCAAGUGACGCUCAACUUAAUAGGAUUCAUCUGUAUCGAAUGCAGCGGGUGGCUAGCGACUCACUCAAGAGGGGCCUUCUUCAAUUUCGUAGCUAUGACUGGAUUUUGGUUUACCGGAAUCCUGUUGGCUUUCUACUUAUUCCACCUUAUAGAAAAAUUCCACAGGGUGCCAUGGCUAAAGAUUGAAUUCAUAUUUUGUGCCGUAUGGACCGGAUUAUAUUUGAUAGCGGCGUCUUUAGCUAUAUCGUUUCACCAAGAAGCCUACAUUGCAGCUGGGUUCUUCGGCUUCUGCGGCAUGGUAGCGUACGGAAUCGACGGUUUCUUUAAGUUCAAGGCCAUCAAAAGUGGACAACUUGCUCAAGGAGAAAGAGUAGUCAGUCGGCAAACGACAACUGUAACUAGUCCAGCAUAUUAAAUCUAAUCAUUUCUUGUUGAUCACCAAUUAUCACAGUCUCACUAAUCUUCAAUACCUACACCUAACAACCACGAAUUAGACUAAUACUCAAAAAGUGUAAGUAAGUCUCGGAUUAAUUUAACUUAAGUAAUAAGGUGGGUAUUUUUUUUAUAGAAUGGCAGGUUCAUAAUAAUGCUAAUUUUUUGUUAUUGUGUGUUAAAAUAUAAGAAAGUACAUCUACAAAGUAUAAAGAAAGCAAUAUUUACAAUUUUCGACGAUAAAGGAAAUAUAUUUUUAAAUCAGGCGAGACGCAUUAGUCUCUCGCACUUGGUGGUAAGAGCUUUGUAGCAUACCUUGUUUUUUCCUUAAACUCUAAUGAGUUCUGUGGCCUCAACGAAGACAACAGUUUUCUUAUUGGUAGUUUUAGGAUCUCUUCUGGUUCAAACCUCAAUUGACCAGUGAAAUCCUGCCUCACAUCACUUUGUACAUUCUAACGGCAUAGUAUGUGUAACGCAGUGUCUUCUUCCAUUUCGUUUGUAUAGAUGGUUUCUUAAACGGCAAUGUCCAGUUAUCUUUCAGUGACCGUUUUGAUCUCUCAUUUAUUGAGGUUCAUCAAAUUGUUCGAGAGUUUUUUUAUCAAUAUUAUUGAUUAUUUUUCUAGGCUGGAUUUACCCUUGAGUGACUCCAUUUCUUUUGAUGAUUCCUUAUCGGUCAUUUCUGAACCUCGUUGUUCGUAGCAUCUUUAGUGAUGCCACAGAAAGGUUGUGGGCCUUCAAAAGUUUCUCUCAAGCCUUGUUUUGCCAAUAUAUCUGCUCGUUCAUUCUCAUGCACUCCUUCGUGACCUGGCACCCAUAUUAAAGACAUUCUAUUGUCUAUUGUCAGGUUGUUGACUAGUUUUGAUUUCGUGAGUGGUUUCUUUACUGCCAGAAUCUCUGUAAAUAUUGAUUUUGACGUCGAUAUUACAAAGUGUUGCCGUUACCAUUUGUGGCGUUACGAACUGCCGCGUUACGAGAUGUUUGUCAUGUUAAACAACAUGUAUUACUCUUUGUACUUUCUAGGUGAACUUUACGGUAUUGUACUUGUUAAAUUUUGAUAAGAGCUUAUGAUAAAGUUUUUUAUUUUAAUGUUAAGUUGAAAUCGAAAACUCCUUAAAUUAUUAGACAAACUAAAAUGGUGUUAUGUUUGAAAAAAUGAUUACUUCAACAAAAAUAUUGCAAAAUAUUAUUUACUGUAUUAUAUUUUAGCUAUGACCAACUAGAAGGUGGCCUGGCAAAUUUUUUAUAUUCAGUUUUACUUAUAUUGCUAGGAAAUGAAGAGAAAAGAAUUAUUAAAGUACAAGAUAUAACGAAUAUAGAUAUACAAUCAUAAGCUACAUCUAGAACUACUUCAAAGGGCAAACUUUUUAAAUUCUUGUUAUUUGAAAGGUAUAUAAAGAGCACUCUACCAUUUAGUAGACCAACCAAGUUACUUUUCAGUACCAAAAAACAAAUUUUACAAAAUAAAAACCAACGAACUAAUGUGAUGAAGAAAAAACAACUACCCAAUAACAUUGUAAAAUGUUUAGAUGUCACGGGAUUUGACAAGUGGCAAAUGACACUGACACAAACAUGAAAAGAUUGUCCUGUGUAAAAUCAACAAGAAGUUUUGUUUUAGAAGAUGAAUCAAUUUGUAAUUGAUCGAGUUUUAAUAGAUUUAUGUAUUCUAUUACUUUCUGUUCUCGAUAUGUUUAUAACACUAUGAAUCGUGAAAUUUUAAUAUAAAUCGUUUAAUGGCUCCGUUUUCCAUUGAAUUUUCGCAUUGAAUUGUUGGUGUUCAUAAGUUUCUAAAGUCUUCAUACAUUGGGAUCAGCAUUUGUGCUUAAAGGGCACAGAAAACGUGCUUUUACCUGUAAAAGUAGAGCGACAUUCUUGUUAAUGACAUUGAGUACUUUAAUUUUGCUUUUCUCGAAAUGUCGAGAUGCAUUCUCAAAAAAUAUUGCAUUUUUGUUGAUUUACAAAUAAAGUUUUUAGAUAAUGUGUAUAUUUUCUUCAGUCAUAUUGUAUUUUGUAUAAUGAUUACUGAAAGUACCAAUAGUGGCUUAUAUAUAUUCAAGAACACGUUAAGAAAUAAACUUUCUACAACCCUAAUGUACCUUAUGUAAAUGCUAUGUACAUUUAGCAGAUAACUUCGCAAUAAUUUUUGUAUACAAGCAAUUUAAAUUUUAUCGUCAAAUUUAAAUCGGUUAAGACUGGACAGAUUGUCAACUGUAGAUUUUGUACUAUAUUAAAAAAAAGAAGUUAUUUGGUAUAUAUGUAUAUAUCGGUUACAAAAAUAUAUGAGUUUGUGUCGAAAUCAUCUAAAUCACUUAGAAACACAAACAGUAGGUACUAGUAUUUUAAUACUUGUUAUGUACAUUAUAACCACUUAUUUUAUGCCAUAGAUCUAGAUGAACUUUGAUCUCUAUCGUAUUUCUCCAUUCAGUCUGAUUCCUUAGAGCUUCAUGUCAAUUUUAGACACUGUUCUUCCUUGACUCUAUAACUCAGUGGACUGGCAGCUUUAUAUUGAGUUGAGGAGUUAGUCAGUUCAUUAGUGAGUCACUCGCUACCCAGACAAUAUCUUAAACAUCUCACAUUUCGUCUUUGGCGCCUAUAAAGCAUUUGGAAAAACGGACUUGGUGUCUUCACUCUUCACUUCUACUUCUGGUACCAUUUGAGCCAUCAGGCCUACUUUCACAUUUAAAUGAAAAUCUUCAGUAUUCGUUCAUUUGCUCAUAUGCCUGCUCAUUGAAGGUAUUGUAAAUUGUAUUUUUGUUUAAGGUGAUACAGUAGCGAUCAACAGGUAGCAAAAACGCGUUCCAAGAUUGCGGCUGUAAUUUUGAAUAUUUUUUCGAGAUAUUUGGCACACAUAUUCGUAACAUAAUAAAGAAUGGCGGUACAGAGCCCAAUUUGAAAAAUAUAUUAAUAUGUGUAAAUUACUCUGUAAUUAAAUACAAUAUUAAAAAAAUGAGCCUGUACCGCCAUUAAGAAGAACAAAAAAAUACACUUUCUUCAAAUAAACUUUUUUAUACGAUGCCUAGAUUUUGUGUCAUUUUGGAACUACUAAAAUUUUUUAUUUCAUUAGUAGUUCCAAAAUGACACAAAAUCUAGGCAUCGGAUAAAAAAGUUUAUUUGAAGAAAGUGUAUUUUUUUGUUCUUCUUAAUGGUGGUACAGGCUCGUUUUUUAAAUAUUGUAUUUAAUUACAGAGCAAUUUCCACAUAUUAAUAUAUUUUUUAAAUUGGGCUCUGUACCGCCAUUCUUUAUUAUAUUACGAAUACGUGUGCCAAAUAUCUCGAAAAAAUAUUCCAAAUUACAGCCGCAAUCUUGGAACGCGUUUUCGCUACCUGUUGAUCGCUACUGUUUCCUCUUAAUGUGGAACUAGGUCACAGUUCCUAUGAUACCCAUGUUCAGCAUUUAACAUAUAAAAUAAAGUACAAGAAAGAUAUAAGUGAUUAGGUUAUUUUCACACAUACCUCAAGUAUAAGCACUUGUUAUAUAAUUUAUUGUUGAUAUAUUCUAAAUGUUUACUGUUAGGGAACACUGUAUUAAUGUUUAUAAUGAGGAUAGAGCACUUUACAAAAGUAUUUUGUAUUAAAGAAUAAACUUUAUUAAUGAAUUCGACAUCAUGUGAAAAAUACUUAAAGCCAAUUAUAUAAAACAAAUUGCUGCGCAUGUGUACUUGUUUUAUAUUCAUACUGUUGGUAUUCAAAUAGAAGCUACAACUAUUUUGCGAUAUAAUAAAAUAUUAGCAAAGGUUGUAUCUGCUACGAUAUCUUAGAUAUUCACCACCUGAAAGCAACCAAACAAAAAACUGUUUUAUUUAUUAUAUAGAUACUUUUAUGUACAAAUAUAAUGGAUUUUCAAUUAAAAUUGCGGUUUAUUCCUAUCAAAUAUAGUACAUAACAGAAAUUUCACAAGUUUUAGAACUUAAAAAUUAUUCUUUCUUUCUUUAGAAAUACUUUAGAAAUACGUUUUUUAAAAAUUAAAUACUUUAUUAAUAAUCUAACAAAUAUCUGUUAACAUAUUUUAAGUUUUUAUAAAAAAUCGUGUUUUUCCCUGCUUGGGAUGAUUCAUCGUCCUUCUGCCGUUUACCUUCAAGCAACAGGUCUGUUAAUUUUCACAAAUAUAAAAUGGUCCUUCUAGCUGUAUAUUUAUCAUCUAUCCGGCUCGGAAGGACCAUAUAAAUCUAUUUUCACGCAUAGUUGAUAUGCUCAGUUUUUUGCACUGGAAAAACAGUAUGGAAAACUACAAUAUUCCAUCGUAAAUUAGUCGUUUUCACAUAAUGUAGAAUUUUCAUAACUAAUCUUAUCAUACAUACUGCUUUCUGGAUUAUAUUUAUUUUUGGAUAAAUAUAAAGGUUGUCAAAAAUACUAAAGGCCAGUAAUAUAUUUUUAUUAAUAUCAAAUUGCUUUGUAUAUACUAUUGUUUUAUUGUACAAUCAGAACUAUCUAGAUUAGAAAACUACAUUUUAAGUAUAGUUCAGAAAUCAAGUCUGGUUUGUUGGGUUGUAAAAAACGCAAAUUGAAAGUAGGUUUUCUUUUAAGGUAUUCAAUAUUCUAAAUAAAAAACAUAUUUUAUGCUAUGGGAACUGCUUGAAAAUUGCUUAAAACAAAUUUCCCAUUAAUGAUUAAAAAAGGCUAGUUCUUUUUGAUUUGUGCCGUUGUCGGUAUAUGUCCGUCAGCGGAUUUACAAGUAUUAUGCUUGGCUAAACUGCUUAAAACAAAUAAACUAUUUAUUGCAAUAUAUCUGCGCUGUGGUAACGUAGAUAAUAUUGGACCAAAAUAAAAUAUGAAAAAAUGUUGUUCUUUUUGGUUUGUGCCGUUUGUCGGUAUCCGUCCGUCAGCGCAUUUACAAAUAUUUUAAAAACUGCUUGAAACAAAUUUCACACUUAGGUCCAUUGCAAUAUAUCUUUGCUAUUGGCUCCGUGCGUGACCAUGGUGGGGAAGCAGCGAAACUAUGCCAGCGCCUGUAGGGGCGAAAUAUGACAACUUUGGCGAAUAAUGAUUGAAUAAUAAUUUUUUUUUCAAUAGAUAUUUCGCUUACCUUAUUAUUGCCGUUUUGAUUUUUAUUAUUUAUAUUGUAUAUUUUCAUACUGACUUUCUUUCCUUCCCCUAUCUGGUUUUAUAUUCCUAUAGUCAUCUAUUUCCAUUUUGUGUUACACACACACCACAAAAUUAAUAGUUCAAUAGACCCAGGUAAUGCUAAAAUCUGGUACUAAAAUUCACACUGCCUAAUUACUUUCAAUGUACACUUAAUUAAUGUUAACACCGCUAACUAAACUAUAACGAAAAGUAAAGAAAAACCCUUAAAAUUGAUACUUUCUUCAGAAAACUUCCAAAUAUCCGCUUUUUAAUUUGACGUUUAUUUGACACUCGAACUUAUUGUGUGUAUAAUAAAUUUUAUCAAAAAUGGUAAAUAAAUAUUACAUUAACGUCAAAUCUGUCAUAUGUGUAUUACAUGUUUUACGUCAAAUUGUGUUCACCAAAAAUUUCAGGCGACUACGCUAGGUGUCGCAUCAGUUAUGCACGGAGCGAAUAGUAACGUAGAUAAUAUUGGACCAAAAUAAAAUUAAAAAAAAAGAUUUGUUCUUUUUGGUUUGUGCCGUUUGUCGGUAUCCGCCCGUCCGUGGAUUUAAAUGUUUUUAAAAAACUGUUUGAAACAAAUUUCACACUUGGAUUCAUUACAAUACAGUGAUGAGUGUGCUAAUAACCGGUAAGAUAACGUAAAAGACGGAAAACAUAAUACGUUAUGGAAUAAAAAGAAAUGAAACUAGUAGAGGCGGGAAAUUAUAAAUACAACCUAUAAAAAUUUACAUUAUAUUGAUAGCUUCCCACUUUUAGAUGUAUCGGAGGAGUAUGUCAACUAACACUGUCACUGUCACAGUUCUAGUUGCCAAACUCAUUCCAUACGUACAAAGGUGGAAAACUUUCAAUAUAAUGUAAAUUUAUGGGUUUCUAUUGAUAAUUUCUCACCUCUACUAGUUUCAUCUCUUUUUAUUUCAUAUCGCAUUAUGUUUUCCAUCUUUUACGUUAUUUUUCCGGUUAUUAGAGCACUCAUCACUGCAUAUCUACGCUGUGAUAAGGUAGAUAAUAUUGGACCAAAAGGAAAUAUAAAAAAGAUUAGUUCUUUUUGGUUUGUGCCGUUGUUGGUAUAUGUCCGUCAACGGAUUUACAAGUAUUAUGCUUGGCUAAACUGCUUAAAACAAAUAAACUAAUUAUUGCAAUAUAUCUGCGCUGUGGUAACGUAGGUAAUAUUGGACCAAAAUAAAAUAUGAAAAAAUGUUCUUUUUGGUUUGUGCCGUUUCUCGGUAUCCGUCCGUCAUGCGUCAGCGCAUUUACAAAUAUUUUAAAAACUGCUUGAAACAAAUUUCACAUUCACGAAUUAUUGCAAUAUAUCUGCGCUUUCGUAACGUAGAUAAUAGUGUAUUAAAAUACAAUAUGAAAAAAGGUUAGUUCCUUUUGAUUUAUGCCGUUUGUCGGUAUAUGUCCGUCAGCGGACUUACAGAUAUGAUCAACUAAACUGCUUAAAACAAAUUUCCUUUUGAUUUGUGCCGUUGUCGGUAUACAGUGGAUGAGUGCACUAAGAACCGUAAAAAUAACGCAAAAGACGGAAAACAUAAUAUCGCACCUCCGCUCAAAGAAUGUCAUAACUCAAAAAAAUUUAAAAUCGGUUUUAUUGCACCAACAGUUUAAUAAAACAAUAAACUCCUAUCUCACAAAGUGUCACGUCUAUGGGUCAAAUAUUUAUCGUUAGAUGACACUAGUGUCAUUAUACGAUUAUCCAAAAUCGACGACGCACCGAACACAAACAGUGUUACAUAUCGACUUGUACAAAGCAAUUGUCCAUCUAAGAUGUGUAUAAAACGUCGUUUGUCGAGUUAAGACAGUAUAUGCGAUUACUUUAUUAGUGACACUUUUAUCACUUAUUUAUUUUUCUUUUUGCAGUAUUUUGUGUUUAAUAUUGUUAUUCGUAUUUAAAGUUACAUCAUUAAAAAGUAUAAGUCUGUUAACCAGAUAAUAAUAAUGAUAUUAUAUUCUGUACUGCAAGUGUCACUUUUGAUAAAUAGUACACUGACCGGCACAAAAAACGGCCACCCCACAAAAUGGGUCAUUUUUGAUGUCUCUUAUUUCCUAAACCUGUUGUCCGAUUUAAGUGAUUUUUUUAUUAUGUUAUAGCUUUAUUCUUCAACAAUAUCGCUGUAAUAAUAUUGUUGUCACACAGGUAAAUUAUCAUUGUAUACCAAGUGUACCAAUCAAACUGUGUUUUUUUCUCAAAGGUCACCACACCCUGUGGAAUAUUGUAGCAUUUAUAAAAUACUGAAAUUAAACCCCAACUAUAGCCUCAGAUUUUCUUAACAUUCUGUUUUUUGAUUCAUUCGCUUAUGUUGGAUAAUAAAAAGUUAGGUACUUUAAUAACUAGCCUUGUUUUUCGUCAAUACAGGGUGUUUUUAAAUAAGUAUGGCAAACUUUAAGAGGUAAUUUUGCAUGAUAAAAUAAUGAUAAUUUGCUUUAUAAACGUAUGCAAAUGCUUCGUUUCCGAGAUACGGGAUGUUGAAAUUUUUAUUACAAACUAACGAUUUAUUUAUUGCUCUUAAAACCGGUUGAGCUAUGGAAAUGAAAUUUGGUAGCUUUUAAGACACAGUUAUUACACAUUUUUUGACAUGCAAUUAAUAAUUUUAUAAUCUCCAGUGGCGCGCAUAGGGGUAAUAUUAGCCGCAUGCACGCCAAUCGUGAAUAUAAAAUUCUUAAUUGUAUGUCAAAAAAUGCGCAAUAAUAACCUCUUAAAACCUACCAUAUUUCAUUUGCAUAUCUCAACCGGUUUUAGAGCAAUAAAUAAAUCGACAGUUUGUAAGAAAAAAAUUCAACAUCCCGUAUCUUGGAAAUGAAGCAUUUGAGGACUUAUGUUUAUAAAUCAAACAGUCAUUAUUUUUCCAUGCAGAAUUACCCCUUAAAGUUUGUCACACUUGUUUAGAAACACCCUGUAUUGACGAAGAAAAUGGCUAGUUGUUAAAGUACCUAACUUUUUUAUUAUCCAACAUAAGCGAAUGAAUAAAAAAACAGAAUGUUAAGAAAACCUGAGGCUAUAGUCGGGUUUUAAUUUCAGUAUUUUAUAAAUACUAGAAUAUACCACAGGGUGUGGUAAACUUUGAGAAAAAAAACACAGUUUGAUUGGUACACCCGGUAUACAAUGAUAAUUUACCUGUCUAGCAACAAUAUUAUUACAACGAUAUUGUUAAAGAAUAUGGCUUUAUAAUAUUAAAAAAUCACUUAAAUCGGACAACAGGCUUAGGAAAUUCGAGACAUUAAAUAUGACCCAUUUUGUGGGGUGGCCGUUUUUUGUGCCGGUCAGUGUAUUUCGUAAAUUUUUCGUUAUUUUAUCUGUAUAGUGUCACAACUCAUUUUUUUAAAUAUCUUUAAUAUACUUUAAUAGGCUAUUUUAUAGAGCUUUAAAAACCAUGUAACUGACUGAAAUAGUUAUUAUUCUAAUUUUAAUAGUUUUUGAAUUAAACCCAAAAAUGUUGUAGGACAAACUUUAAACGUCGUUUUCUCGAAACUUUGUUUUUUUGACUUAAGACACUCUUUAAGCGGAGGUGCGAUAUGUUGUGAAAUAAAAAGAGAUGAAACUAGUAGAGGCGGGAAGUUAUAAAUACAAACCUAUAAGUUUACAUUAUAUUGAUAGUUUUCCACCUUUAGACGUAUAUGAGGAGUAUGUCACAGUUCUAGUUGCCAAACUCCUUUGCUACGUCUAAAGGUCAGAAACUUCAAUAUAAUGUAAAUUUACAGGUUUCGAUUAAUAAUUACCGACCUCUACUAGGUUCAUUUCUUUUUUUAUUCGCAACGUAUUAUGUUUUCCGUUUUUUGCGUUAUUUUGGCGGUUAUUAGCGAACUCAUCACUGUAUAUCCGUCAGCGGAUUUACAAAUAUUACGCUCAGCUAAACUGCUUAGAACAAAUUUCGCACUAACGAUUUAUUGGACGAGAUUCUGCAGAAAGGAUCCAACCCACACUUUGUUAAAACUGAGAUAUUAGCCAAAAAGUUUACGACAAAAUUUAAAAUUCUCGAUUAAAAAUAAUUAACGUUUAACAUUAGAAUCGGUACAAUAUUAACGAUUCUAAUGUUAAGCCAUAAUUAUUUUUAAUAGAGAAUUUUAAAUUUUAUCGUAAACUUUUUGGCUAAUAUCUCAGUUUUAACAAUGUGUGGUUUGUCCUUUCUGCAGAAUCCCGUCCUAUUGCAAUAUAUCUGCGCUUUGGUAACGUAGAUAAUAUCGGAUCAAAAUAAAAAUAAAAAAGAUUAGUUCUUUUUGGUUUGUGCCGCUUGUCGGUAUCGGUGCGUCCGCGGAUUUACACGUAUUUAAAAAACUGCUUGAAACAAAUUUCACACCUAUGUUCAUUGAAAUACAGUGAUGAGUGCGCUAAUAACCGACAAAAUAACGUAAAAGACGGAAAACGUAAUACGUUGUGAAAUAUAAAAAGAGAUGAAACUAGUAGAGGUGGGAAAUUCUCAAUACAAACCUAUUAAUUUACAUUAUAUUGAUAGUUUCCCACCUUGAAAUGUAUCGGAGUAAUAUCUCAACUAAAACUGUCACUGUCACAGUGGUAGUUGUACCAUACUCCUCCGAUACGUCUAAAGGUGGGAAGCUAUCAACAUAAUGUAAAUUUAUAGGUUUCUAUUGAUAAUUUUCCACCUCUACUAGUUUCAUCUCUUUUUUUAUUUCAUAACGCAUUAUGUUUUCAAUCUUUUACGUUAUUUUUCUGGUUAUUAGAGCACUCAUCACUGUUUAUCUACGCUGUGGUAAGGUAGAUAAUAUUGGACCAAAAAGAAAUAUGAAAAAAGAUUAGUUCUUUUUGGUUUGUGCCGUUUGUCGGUAUAUGUCCGUCAGCGGAUUUACAAGUCUUUAGUAAACUGCUUAAAACAAAUUAUACAUUAACUAUUUAUUUAUCCGCGUCUGUCCGCGGAUUUACAAGUAUUUAAAAAACUGCUUGAAACAAAUUUCACACUUGGGUUCAUUGUAAUACAGUGAUGAGUGCGCUAAUAACCGGCAUAAUAGCGUAAAAGACGGAAAACAUAAUACGUCGUGAUAUAUAAAAAGAGAUGAAACUAGUAGAGGUGGUAAUUUUUAAAUACAAACCUAUAAAUUUACAUUAUAUUGAUAGUUUGUCACCUUUAGAUGUAUCGGAGGAGUAUGUCAACUAAAACUGUCACUGUCACAGUGGUAGUUGCCCAACUCCUCCGAAACACCUGAAGGUGGGAAACUAUCAACAUAAUGUAAAUAAAUUUAGAGGUUUCUAUUGAUAAUUUCCCACCUACUAGUUUCAUCCCUUUUUAUUUCACAACGUACUCUGUUUUCCAUCUUUUACGAUAUUUUGCCGGUUAUUAGGGAACUCAUCACUAUAUAUCUACGCUAUGUUAUUAAUAUUGGACCAAAAUAAAACAUGAAAAAAGAUUAGUUCUUUUUGGUUUGUGCCGUUUGUCGGUAUAUGUCCGUCAGCGGAUUUACAAGUCUUGAGUAAACUGCUUAAAACAAAUUAUACAUUAACUAUUUAUUUAUCCGCGUCUGUCCGCGGAUUUACAAGUAUUUAAAAAACUGCUUGAAACAAAUUUCACACUUAAGUUCAUUACAAUAAUCUACGCUAUGGUAAUGUAGAUAAUAUUGGACCAAAAUAAAAUAUGAAAAAAGUUAUUUUUUUGAUUUGUGCCGUAGUAAUAAACUAAUAGCGCAAGCUUUCUCCCUAGUUACUAAUGCAACAAUCUGUGUUGUAAAGGAAUUUCACAUUUGUAAGAUUUUUCUCCAUUGAAUAUGAAUAUUGAUUCACAUUUCACAUUUGUAAGGUUUUUCUCCAUUGAAUAUGAACAUUGAAUAACAUUUCACAUUUUUGUAAUCUUAUCUGCAUUGAAUAAGUACUGAUUCACAUUUGUAAGGUUUUUCUUUAUUUAAUAUAUGUACCUAAAUAAUGGUUCACAUUUUAAUUUGUAAGGUUUUUCUCCAUUGUUAUAAAUAUUGAUUCACAUUUGCAAGGUUUUCCUCCAUUGAAUAUGAAUAUUGAUUCACAUUUCUCAUUUUUAAGGUUUUUCUCCAUUGAAUAUGAAUAUGGAUUCAAAUUUCAGAUUAAUUGUAAUAUUUUUCUGCAUUGAAUAUAAUUAAUUCCACAUUUAACAUCUGUAAGGUUUUUCUUCAUUGUUAUGAAUAUUGAUUCACAUUUCACAUUUGUAAGGUUUUUCUCCAUUAAAUAUGGAUAUGGAUUCACAUUUCACAUUAAUUUGUAAUGUUUUCCUGGGUUGAAUAUGAUUGAUUCACAUUUCACAUUUGUAAGUUUUUUCUUUAUUGAAUAAGUAUACCUAAAUAUUGAUUCACAUUUGUAAGGUUAUUCUUCAUUGUUAUGAAUAUUUAUUCAUAUUUGUAAGGUUUUUCUCCAUUGAAUAAAUACUGAUUCACAUUUGUAAGGUUUUUCUCGAUAGUUAUGAAUAUUGAUUCACAUUUGUAAGGUUUUUCUCCAUUGGAUACGAAUAUUGAUUCACAUUUCCAUUUGUAUAGUUUCUCUCCAUUGAAUAUAAAUAUUGACUCUAUUCUCCAGCAUAAAUUGUUUGAUACACAUUUUAAAUGCUUUUCUUGGAUUAGAAUAAUGAUUCUAAUCUCCAGUGUGAAUCGUUUGAAACAGGAUUUACAUUUGUAGGGUUUUUCUCCAGUCCAAUCGUGAGUCAACUUUCGUUAAAGUUCAAUUUGUAACAAAUUAUGAAUCGCCGUAACUUAGCGGCAAGAUACUGGCCUCAUAAGCCAGAGCGCAAGAGUUCGAAUAUCGGCACAAACAACAUUUUUAUUUUUAAAAAGAAAAGGAACCGUUCACCAUGCUUCGGAGAGCACUUAAAGUGUCGGUCCCCUUUGGCUAGUGUGCAUCGACACUAGCCACUUGGAACAGGGUAAAGAUGCAAUUGGCGCCGGAGCAAUCCGAAAGGAUCUUCCUGGCAAAAUGCCAUACAAUAUAAUUGUUGUAACAAAUCUCACACUUGUAAGGUUUUCUCCAUCGAAUAUUAAUAUUUGAGGCGCUCAGAGCAACAGUGGCCUAACUCACAACACGCAAUUUUACCAAAAAGCUUUUCUUACCUUAAAGUUAUCCCUUAUUUAAGUAUAUUCAGAUGCAGAGUGGCUCAAGCAAAACCACUAUCUGAAAAUACUUAAAUAAGGGAUAAGUUUAAUGUAAUAAAAGCGUUUUGGUAAAAUAGUGGAUUGUGGUUUUAGGUCACUGUUGCUCUGAGUGCCUCAUUUAUGCUGAUCUCCUCUGUAAAUCGUUUGUUACACGUGGAGUCCAUUUAAGGUUUUUCUCUAGUGUGUACUCUAUAUAUACAAACUGUUCACCGUGCUUCGGAGGGCACGGAAAGUCGUCGGUCCCCACGACAUUUUCAUUUUUAAAAAGAAAACGAACCGUUGUCGUCGGUCCCCUUUGGCUAGUGUGCAUCGACACUAGCUACUUGAAACAGGGUUAAAGAUGCAGUUGGCGCCGGAAUAAUCCGAAAGGAUCCUUCCGGCAAAAAUGCCAUACGAUAUUGUAGCGAAAGAGCUACCACAAGAAACAGGUUCCAUCUCGACACCGCAGAAAUAUAUAGAUGGAACACGUGACGAGGGGAGUGAAGUGUUCGAGAACAGACGCGAAGGACGCUCGGAAUACCUCGCUUCCCUCACCACGUGUUCCAUCUAGAUAUUUCUGCGGUGUAGAGAUGGAACCUGUUACUUGUGGUAGCUCUUUCGUUACAUUAUUAUUGAAACAAAUUUCACACUUGUAAGGUUUUCUCCAAUGAAUAUGAAUCUUAAUGCUAAUUUCCAUUGUAUAUCGUAUGAUAUACGUGGAGUACAUUUAAGGUUUUUCUCCAGUAUGCAAUCUCAAAUGUUAUAGUAAGGAACACGAUCGCUAGAUGUUUCUCCACUCCAACUUUCGUUAAAGUUCAAUUUGUAAUAAAUUAUGGACGGCCGUAACUCUGCAGUUGAUACUGGCCUCAUAAGCCAGAGCGCACGAGUUCGAGUCUCGGCACAAACCACGACAUUUUCAUUUUUACAAAGAAAACGAACCGUUCACCUAAAGGCGUCGGUCCCCUUUGGCUACUGUGCAUCGACAUUAGCUACUUGAAACAGGGUUAAAGAUGCAAUUGAAUCAGUGAUUAUGAAAAGGGGUUAUCUCCACUUUCUGUCGAAUUUGUAUUUAAUACACAUAGACACGUCUAUUCCAUUCCAAUUUCAAUAUUAUUACCAUAAGCACAGCCUACCCCGCAAAUCAGUUCAGUUUGAAAAGGAGUCAUCUCCUAGAAAUGACUCCUUUUCCCAUUCUACCACAUGAUCUGUAAAUGCCUGUUUAAUUUAAAAACGGGUCAUCUCUUUUUCAAAAAAUUUCGGUUUCUAGGUCUUUUAAAAACACUUAAAAUAAUCAUCAGCUAGUAUUUAGCAGUUUGCUGUGUGUAAUAAACAAUAUUCACAUUAUAAUGACUAUUUUUUUCUUUUAAUGUUCGUUAUGAAAACGGGUUAUCUCUUUUUCAAAAAAUUGCUGUUUCUAGGUCUUUUAUAAUUUAAAAAAACUUUUUUCAAAUAUUCAUCAACUUAUAUAAUAAAUAUUAAAACCAAAGAAUACAUAAAAACAGAUAUUUCCCUAAUAGUCUUAAAGAUAAAAAAUAAAAAGUUUUUUACCUCUCCUGUGAAAUUUAAAAAAGUGGAGGUGAGUAGUGAUGUAACGAAUGUCAUUUUUUGAACAUUCGCGAAUACGAAUGCGAAUACCUGCUACGACAUUCGCGAAUGCGGAUGCGAAUAUUCAGUUUUUUUAAUUUGUUUCUAUUUUUGUAAUAUUUUCUAAAUUUAUAAUGAGAAGUUAAUUGAUAUCUAGUGUAAAUAAAUCUGAUUCUUAAGGAAUCUUAAGGCUUAAUAAAAAAGACCAAAUAAUAAAAUAAAGUAAAGGCUGAUAAUGUGAUUAUACGAAGUUAAGUUACCUUUCCUUAAUAAAAAAAAAAGAUGAGAUGUGAAGAUAUUUUGAUUUUAUUAACCUAAUAUUAUCUUCAAAUUACUUUUUUCUGAUAUUCAUAUUCGCAAAACAUUUGCACAAAUUUUGCGAAUAUUCGCGAAUGCGAAUAUUCGUUACAUCACUAGAGGUGACAUUUUCAAAAUUACUGAUUCAAUUAUUGUAACAAAUUUCACAUUUGUAAGGUUUUUCUCCAUUGACUAUGACUAUUUAUGCUAAUCUCCACUGUAAAUCGUUUGUUACACGUGGAGUACAUUUAAGGUUUUUCUCCAGUGUGUACUCUAUAUACAAUCUGUUCACCGUGCUUCGGAGGGCACGUAGUCGUCGGUCCCCGCGGCAUUUUUAUUUUUAAAAAGAAAACGAACCGUUCACUGUGCUUCGAGAGCACGUAAUGUGUCGGUCCCCUUUAGCUAGUGUGCAUCUGCACUAGCCACAUGAAACAGGGUUAAAGAUGCAAUUGGCGCCGGAACAAUCCGAAGGGAUCCCUCCGGCAAAAAUGCCAUACGAUAUUGUAGCGAAAGAGCAACCACAAGUAACAGGUUCCAUCUCGACACCGCAGAAAUAUCUAGAUGGAACACGUCACGAUUGGAAUGAGGUGGUCGAGAACAGACGCGAAGGACGCUCGGAAUACCUCACUUCCCUCAUCACGUGUUCCAUCUAGAUAUUUCUGCGGUGUAGAGAUGGAACCUGUUACUUGCGGUAGCUCUUUCGGUACAUUAUUAUUGUAACAAAUUUCACACUUGUAAGGUUUUCUCCAUUGAAUAUGAAUCUUAAUGCUAAUUUCCACUGUAUAUCGUAUGAUAUACGUGGAGUACAUUUAAGAUUUUUCUCCAGUCUGUAAUCUCAAAUGCUAUAGUAAGGAACACGAUCGCUAGAUGUUUCUCCACUCCAACUUUCGUUAAAGUUUAAUUUGUAACAAAUUAUGAACGGCCGUAACUCUGCAGUUGAUACUGGCCUCAUAAGCCAGAGCGCACGAGUUCGAGUCUCGGCACAAACCACGACAUUUUCAUUUUUACCAAGAAAACGAACCGUUCACCUAAAGGCGUCGGUCCCCUUUGGAUACUGUGCAUCGACAUUAGCUACUUGAAACAGGGUUAAAGAUGCAAUUGAAUCGGUCAUUGUGAAAAGGGGUUAUCUCCACUUUUUUGACAUUUCCACUUUCUGUCGAAUUUGUAUUUAAUACACAUAGACACGUCUAUUCCAUAUGAAAACGGGUCAAUAUUAUUACCGUAAGCACAGCAUACCCCGCAAAUCAAUUCAGUUUGAAAAGGAGUCAUCUCCUAGAAAUGACUCAUUUUCCCAUUCUACCACAUGAUCUGUAAAUACCUGUUCAUUAUGAAAACGGGUCAUCUCUUUUUCAAAAAAUUGCGGUUUCUAGGUCUUUCAUAAUUAAAAAAAACUUUUUUAAAAUAUUCAUCAGCUUAUAUAGUAAAUACUAAAACCAAAGAAUACAUAAAAACAGAUAUUUUCCUAAUAGUCUUAAAGAUAAAAAGUUUUUUACCGCUCCUGUGAAAUUUAAAAAAGGGGAGGUGACCUUUUCAAAAUUACUGAUUCAAUUAUUGUAACAAAUUUCACAUUUGUAAGGUUUUUCUCCAUUGAAUAUGAAUAUUUAUGCUGAUCUCCACUGUAAAUCGUUUGUUACAGUUGAGUCCGCGAAUCUUUACCCGUGCUUCAUCAUUUAAAGCAUACGAAAUAAGUCGAUGAUAAGUCGGAAAUUGAAAGUUACUAAACGCAACAGCAAGUCACAGUAUAGUAAAUAUUAAAACCAAAGAAUACAUAAAAACAUAUAUUUUCCUAAUAGUCUUAAACAUAAAAGUUUUUUUACCUUCUGUGAAAUUUAAAAAAGUGGAGGUGACCUUUUCAAAAUUACUGAUUCAAUUAUUGUAACAAAUUUCACAUUUGUAAGGUUUUUCUCCAUUGAAUAUGAAUAUUUAUGCUAAUCUCCCUCCACUGUAAAUCGUUUGUUACACGUGGAGUGCAUUUAAGGUUUUUCUCCAGUGUGUACUCUAUAUACAAUCUCUUCACCGUGCUUCGGAGGGCACGUAAAGUCGUCGGUCCCGGCGACAAUUUUAUUUUUAAAAAGAAAACGAACCGUUCACCGUGCUUCGACAGCACGUAAUGUGUCGGUCCCCUUUAGCUAGUGUGCAUCGGCACUAGCUACUUGAAACAGGGUUAAAGAUGCAAUUAUUGUAACAAAUUUCACAAUUGUAACGCUAAAUACACACACCGAUUUUGUAUCGACCGUUCAAAUUCCGAUAGUGAACCACAUGUUAGAACGGGACAUUUCACACACGCCGGCACCGAUAAGCGGUCGGCGUGUGUGAAAUAUCCCGUUAAAACCUGUGGUUCACUAUCGGAAUUUGGACGGCCUAUAUAAAAUCGAUCGUCCAAAAUCGGUGUGUGUGUAUUUAGCGUAUGGUAUAUUGAAUAUGAAUUAAUCUCCACUGUCAAUCAUAUGAUACACGUGGAGUACAUUUAUGGUUUUUCGCCAGUGUGCAAUUUCAAAUGUUAUAGUAAGAAACUAUGGCUAUAGUCCGUCCCACCUUGACUUUUCAGUAUAGGGAACAUAGGCAAUGCAGUCCUUAUGAGAGUUUUUAGCGCGGUGAUGCAGAUUUUAUCAAAAAGAAUUUGUAAUCGAACAUUAGAGAGAUUAAAUUAAAACUAGUGUAGAAAGACAGUCUACAAUUUUAGGAUUCGUAUGAGUUUAAGUUUAUUUGAUAUACUAUAGUUAUUACGCAUAUGAAUCUUUAAAUUGUAGGUUGCCUUUCUAAAACAGUUUUAAUUUAAUCUCGCUAAUGUUCGAUUACAAGUUCUUUUUGAUAAAAUCGGAAUCACCGCGUUAAAAACUCUCAUGCAUUGCCUAUGUUCCCUAUACUGUAAAGUCAAAGUGGGAAAGACAUAGGUGUUUCGUCAGUGUGCAAUCUCAUAUGAUAUAGCGAGGAAUACGAAUAAUAUAAAAUGUAAUCCUCAUUACAUUCAGUUGUGGUUUAAUCCCAUGUACUGUUUACGAUAGUAGACAUUCAUUGCCUUUGACCAUAUCGGCUGCAAUUGCAGAAAAAAAUACCGGGAAGAAAUAAUUGCGUACCACGCUUUAUAAACUCCCAUUACGUUCUUGUAGUAUCAGUAUUGAAUUUUAUUUGGAAUAUUGAAUUCUCUACAUUAGAAAAAACUUGCUCAACAUGAUAAAAAAUUCCACUUUGAAUCAGCUCUAAUGAAAUUUUUUAUGGAAACUUUUAACAAAUCACUACUUUCAUUUGGUGGUUUAUGUAUGUAAUAAUUACAGUUAAGUCCAUGGUUCUUUGCCCAUGCAUCAUUAUUUAAAACAUACGAAAUAAGUCGAAAAUUUACCCCACGCAACAGCAAAUGACAGAAAGUAGCUACUGCUCCGAUGACGGAGCAGUAGCUACUUCUAUUAUAAAAUUUGACGUUAUCAAAUAAAUAAAAUGUAAAAUGUUAGUUUUGCUUUAAAAUUUUUGUGCAGAAUUACAGCUACAUUUGAAGUAGCUUAAUUCAAAAAAUAAUAUAUAUUAUAGUAAAUAUAAUAACCAGGCAUAAUCUAAAAAAAAUCAAUAAAAUAUUUUCUUUUUGUCAUUUCUUUCACUUUUGCGGAAACUUAACAAAAACGGAAACAAAACCGUUCCUUAACUGUGUUAACUGAGGUUAACUUUGUAGGUGUAUAAUUUAAUGGCAAAAUAAAAUAAACUUAUAUGUACACCAUAAAAUUUCAAACUCCAAUAUAAAAUUAGUUUAAAAACAACUGUUUGUGUAAUAUAAAUAACUUCUAAAGAAAAACAGCAUAACAGGACAAAAAACAGCAAAAAAUCCAACAAACUGACAGCCACAAGUAAACAAACCAGAAACGUCACAAAUUGUACUCCAGUUGAAAACAUUCCCAAGCGUAUUUUUCCACCACUUAUCUCUUUUCGAUGUACUAAGUCUAAAGCGUUCAUAAAAGUAACAUGUGUCUUUACUUAAUAACAGGCGGUAGCUGGUUGGUCUUUAGUUUCAUGCGUGGAAGACAAUGAUGCUAGAUAAAAAGUAUGUGUUUUAUCUCGCCAGGUAUUAAUGACUCACGGGUAAGGAACCAUGGACUCAAUUGUAUAAAGUGGUUUGCAGUACUUAUUACUAAGACAGGCUAGGAGAACUAGAUAAUAUAUUUUGGGAACUUUUAAUGGGUAGUUCUUAUAAAACGAUUUAUUUUUAGUGUUACAACUUUUUAACCAAUACAAAUACCCUUGUAAGAUUGUAUUAUUACAGUAUUUUUGAUCGUAUUAUAAUGGCAACUUUAUUUUAACAACACAGGUUUUCCUACACUAAUUAUGCUUCACUUUACAAAUUAUCUGAAUUUUGUUGAUGCAAUUUCAUCAAUUUAUUUUAAGCUGGAUAAAACAUAACAUAUUUUUAUGUUGUGGGAUGAACUUAGUGCAUUUAGUAGUUAGUUUGCUGUCCUCUGUUCCACCAUCUUUUAAUUAAUUUAUUGUAGUUUUGACAUACUAUGUGCAAGCGCAUUGAACAUAUAAGAAAGAAUUUGUAUAUUUGAAAAAUUAUGCUAUGAAAACUCUUAACAAACAUUGUAGAGCUGAUAGAUACGUAUUAAUGGACAAUACCAAAAAUAAUUGUCUACUUUGUAUUAUAAAUUGAAAUUAUUUUAUUUUAGUGCAUUUUUCGGAUGGUAGUAUUUAGUAUUGGUUAAAAUAUUCAAAUAAUACUUAUACAACGAACUAGCUUUUAAUACGAAAUUAAAUUUUGGAAUAUUUACAUCCCGAUUGUUAGAUAAAUCUGUAUAACUUUGAUAAAAAUUCAAUAGGACCACUAGAAAUAUCACUUUAUAUGAUAAUCUGUAUAUCUUCGAUAAACUUUCAAUAGGACCACAAAAAAUAUCAUGUUAUAUGAAUCUAUAAUUUACAUUUUUCUAAUAAAGUUUUUUCCAAAAAAUA